Molecule: long non-coding RNA, 1335 nt
Filed under: Gossypium barbadense (sea-island cotton)
Lineage: Eukaryota; Viridiplantae; Streptophyta; Magnoliopsida; Malvales; Malvaceae
Description: long non-coding RNA (GBAR_LNC002559)
Source: RNAcentral
AUUUCUAAAAUAACCCUAACCCGCUUUCUUUGAUUCUCCCUCAACCGAUCCCAAAUCCCUACCCUCAGUCGCCGUACCAUCACCUCUAACAGUGGCCGACGGUGAGUAAAUCUUCCCUUUCUAACCUCCUUUAGAAAAACAUUUAAGAAUCUAACACCUUCAACCAUAAAGAAUCAAAAGAACGUCUCAACCUUGGUUGGAUUCGAUUUUAACGCAGGAGAAACUCCGACGAUAUUCCAACGAUUCAAGUGAGCCCUUAUCCUUUAUCCUCUUCGUUUUAUUUGUAGUAGAUGCAAAAAUGCAAGUAAAAAAAUCGACGAAAAAAACAAUCGGAAUAUAAUAAAUUACAUUCUCCUCUUUUGGUUGUUUUUUUGAUUUUCUAUUCAACCUUACUCCCUUUUUACUUAUUUUUUACAUGCAUUGAAAAAAGAUUGAGGAAAUAGAAAUGAAUAAUCGAAGAAGAAUGUAAAGUAGAAUCACCUUAAAAAUUGAUUUCAAAUUCUUCUCUCUUUUCAAUAUGCGUGUGUAUUUCUAUGGAAAAAAAAGAUACAAUUUUACAUUAUUUUCAUUCGGUUUUAUAGCCGAAAAAAUAAAAUAAAUAAAUAAAAAGAAAAUACAAAUUUUUCAUUGCUAUCAUUUGCUGUCCAUUGCUCUGUUGUUUGUUAGUCUGUUGCAAGUGUGCAUGGUGUGGAGAAGCCGUUCAUGGGCGUGGAGCGUGGCGCGUGUGGAAGCCGUUGUGAAGCAUGGAGGCUGGAGGCUGCGGCACGAGGCUACUGGCUCUUAGGGUUUGCUGAGUGAUUCUUUGUUUUGGGCUGGGACUUUGGGUUUAAUGUUGGGCUAAUAAAUGUAAAUGGACUGAUGUUUUAUUUUUGUUUUGGGCUAUUAAAUGUGGGUGUAAAAGGACUUUGGACCUUUAAAUUAUUUUGGUUUUAUUUUUUUGGUUUUGGUUUUGGUGUAAGCCCGGGCGAAAUGGGCUUAUUACAGUCUCUUAACCUCUGAACUUCAACUUGAGCUUGAUUCCCCGAAGGCAUGUAUUGCUGCAAGCUGGAUCCAAAAUAUUGGGUUAGGUUAACAAAAGAUCAUUGAAAUCGAACCCGACCAUACCUUUCAGGACUCAAAACUUCAAUAAUAAUUCGAUUAUCAAUGUUGUUAAGAUUCACAAAACUAUCAUUUGAAGCAAUCGCUUCAUACUCCACCCUUUUAUCCAUUAGUUUCUCCUAAUAAAUCAAUCAAAGAGUUAGAAAUGAAAUAUAUAAUAAAAACAAAUGCAACAUAACUUAACAUUAUUUGCAUUACAAACGAAGAAUUAAACCAUUAUAAUUAAACAUGAUAAAU